AGUGAACGCUGGCGGUAGGCCUAACACAUGCAAGUCGAACGGCAGCACAGGAGAGCUUGCUCUCUGGGUGGCGAGUGGCGGACGGGUGAGGAAUACAUCGGAAUCUACUUUUUCGUGGGGGAUAACGUAGAGAAACUUACGCUAAUACCGCAUACGACCUACGGGUGAAAGCAGGGGAUCUUCGGACCUUGCGCGAUUGCAUGAGCCGAUGUCGGAUUAGCUAGUUGGCGGGGUAAAGGCCCACCAAGGCGACGAUCCGUAGCUGGUCUGAGAGGAUGAUCAGCCACACUGGAACUGAGACACGGUCCAGACUCCUACGGGAGGCAGCAGUGGGGAAUAUUGGACAAUGGGCGCAAGCCUGAUCCAGCCAUACCGUGUGGGUGAAGAAGGCCUUCGGGUUGUAAAGCCCUUUUGUUGGGAAAGAAAUCCAGCUGGUUAAUACCCGGUAGGGAUGACGGUACCCAAAGAAUAAGCACCGGCUAACUUCGUGCCAGCCGCCGCAGUAA
This 506-nucleotide ribosomal RNA is filed under the name uncultured bacterium. Its description in RNAcentral is "partial 16S ribosomal RNA". It matches the Rfam family "Bacterial small subunit ribosomal RNA", at positions 29 to 523 of the family's 1533-position model. The record is from RNAcentral.